RNAcentral lists this ribosomal RNA (1221 nucleotides) under Cutibacterium acnes HL060PA1. RNAcentral describes it as "bacterial SSU rRNA". It matches the Rfam family "Bacterial small subunit ribosomal RNA", at positions 8 to 1237 of the family's 1533-position model. The record is from RNAcentral. Lineage: Bacteria; Bacillati; Actinomycetota; Actinomycetes; Propionibacteriales; Propionibacteriaceae.
AGAGUUUGAUCCUGGCUCAGGACGAACGCUGGCGGCGUGCUUAACACAUGCAAGUCGAACGGAAAGGCCCUGCUUUUGUGGGGUGCUCGAGUGGCGAACGGGUGAGUAACACGUGAGUAACCUGCCCUUGACUUUGGGAUAACUUCAGGAAACUGGGGCUAAUACCGGAUAGGAGCUCCUGCUGCAUGGUGGGGGUUGGAAAGUUUCGGCGGUUGGGGAUGGACUCGCGGCUUAUCAGCUUGUUGGUGGGGUAGUGGCUUACCAAGGCUUUGACGGGUAGCCGGCCUGAGAGGGUGACCGGCCACAUUGGGACUGAGAUACGGCCCAGACUCCUACGGGAGGCAGCAGUGGGGAAUAUUGCACAAUGGGCGGAAGCCUGAUGCAGCAACGCCGCGUGCGGGAUGACGGCCUUCGGGUUGUAAACCGCUUUCGCCUGUGACGAAGCGUGAGUGACGGUAAUGGGUAAAGAAGCACCGGCUAACUACGUGCCAGCAGCCGCGGUGAUACGUAGGGUGCGAGCGUUGUCCGGAUUUAUUGGGCGUAAAGGGCUCGUAGGUGGUUGAUCGCGUCGGAAGUGUAAUCUUGGGGCUUAACCCUGAGCGUGCUUUCGAUACGGGUUGACUUGAGGAAGGUAGGGGAGAAUGGAAUUCCUGGUGGAGCGGUGGAAUGCGCAGAUAUCAGGAGGAACACCAGUGGCGAAGGCGGUUCUCUGGGCCUUUCCUGACGCUGAGGAGCGAAAGCGUGGGGAGCGAACAGGCUUAGAUACCCUGGUAGUCCACGCUGUAAACGGUGGGUACUAGGUGUGGGGUCCAUUCCACGGGUUCCGCGCCGUAGCUAACGCUUUAAGUACCCCGCCUGGGGAGUACGGCCGCAAGGCUAAAACUCAAAGGAAUUGACGGGGCCCCGCACAAGCGGCGGAGCAUGCGGAUUAAUUCGAUGCAACGCGUAGAACCUUACCUGGGUUUGACAUGGAUCGGGAGUGCUCAGAGAUGGGUGUGCCUCUUUUGGGGUCGGUUCACAGGUGGUGCAUGGCUGUCGUCAGCUCGUGUCGUGAGAUGUUGGGUUAAGUCCCGCAACGAGCGCAACCCUUGUUCACUGUUGCCAGCACGUUAUGGUGGGGACUCAGUGGAGACCGCCGGGGUCAACUCGGAGGAAGGUGGGGAUGACGUCAAGUCAUCAUGCCCCUUAUGUCCAGGGCUUCACGCAUGCUACAAUGGCUGG